CAGUAGCCGCGGUAAUACAGAGGGUGCGAGCGUUAAUCGGAUUUACUGGGCGUAAAGCGUGCGUAGGCGGCUAAUUGAGUCGGAUGUGAAAUCCCCGAGCUUAACUUGGGAAUUGCAUUCGAUACUGGUUAGCUAGAGUGUGGGGGAGGAUGGUAGAAUUCCAGGUGUAGCGGUGAAAUGCGUAGAGAUCUGGAGGAAUACCGAUGGCGAAGGCAGCCAUCUGGCCUAACACUGACGCUGAGGUACGAAAGCAUGGGGAGCAAACAGGAUUAGAUACCCCAGUAGUCCCUGUCUCUUAUAA
This 301-nucleotide ribosomal RNA is filed under the name uncultured bacterium. RNAcentral's name for it is "partial 16S ribosomal RNA". It matches the Rfam family "Bacterial small subunit ribosomal RNA", at positions 509 to 809 of the family's 1533-position model. The record is from RNAcentral.